AGCCUACGGGAGGCAGCAGUGGGGAAUAUUGGACAAUGGGGGGAACCCUGAUCCAGCCAUGCCGCGUGUGUGAAGAAGGCCUUAUGGUUGUAAAGCACUUUAAGCGAGGAGGAGGCUACUGAGACUAAUACUCUUGGAUAGUGGACGUUACUCGCAGAAUAAGCACCGGCUAACUCUGUGCCAGCAGCCGCGGUAAUACAGAGGGUGCGAGCGUUAAUCGGAUUUACUGGGCGUAAAGCGUGCGUAGGCGGCUUUUUAAGUUGGAUGUGAAAUCCCCGAGCUUAACUUGGGAAUUGCAUUCGAUACUGGGUAGCUAGAGUAUGGGAGAGGAUGGUAGAAUUCCAGGUGUAGCGGUGAAAUGCGUAGAGAUCUGGAGGAAUACCGAUGGCGAAGGCAGCCAUCUGGCCUAAUACUGACGCUGAGGUACGAAAGCAUGGGGAGCAAACAGGAUUAGAUACCCCAGUAGUCCC
This 470-nucleotide ribosomal RNA is filed under the name uncultured Moraxellaceae bacterium. Its description in RNAcentral is "bacterial SSU rRNA". It matches the Rfam family "Bacterial small subunit ribosomal RNA", at positions 335 to 797 of the family's 1533-position model. Lineage: Bacteria; Pseudomonadati; Pseudomonadota; Gammaproteobacteria; Moraxellales; Moraxellaceae. The record is from RNAcentral.